RNAcentral lists this transfer RNA (76 nucleotides) under Staphylococcus aureus. RNAcentral's name for it is "tRNA-Val". It matches the Rfam family "tRNA". Rfam says of the family: Transfer RNA (tRNA) molecules are approximately 80 nucleotides in length. The record is from RNAcentral. Lineage: Bacteria; Bacillati; Bacillota; Bacilli; Caryophanales; Staphylococcaceae.
GGAGAAUUAGCUCAGCUGGGAGAGCAUCUGCCUUACAAGCAGAGGGGCGGCGGGUUGGACCCGCCCUUUUCCCCCC